AUUGAACGCUGGCGGCAUGCCUUACACAUGCAAGUCGAACGGCAGCAUGAUCUAGCUUGCUAGAUUGAUGGCGAGUGGCGAACGGGUGAGUAAUACAUCGGAACGUGCCCUGUAGUGGGGGAUAACUAGUCGAAAGAUUAGCUAAUACCGCAUACGACCUGAGGGUGAAAGUGGGGGACCGCAAGGCCUCAUGCUAUAGGAGCGGCCGAUGUCUGAUUAGCUAGUUGGCGGGGUAAAGGCCCACCAAGGCGACGAUCAGUAGCUGGUCUGAGAGGACGAUCAGCCACACUGGGACUGAGACACGGCCCAGACUCCUACGGGAGGCAGCAGUGGGGAAUUUUGGACAAUGGGCGAAAGCCUGAUCCAGCAAUGCCGCGUGUGUGAAGAAGGCCUUCGGGUUGUAAAGCACUUUUGUCCGGAAAGAAAUGGCUCUGGUUAAUACCUGGGGUCGAUGACGGUACCGGAAGAAUAAGGACCGGCUAACUACGUGCCAGCAGCCGCGGUAAUACGUAGGGUCCAAGCGUUAAUCGGAAUUACUGGGCGUAAAGCGUGCGCAGGCGGUUGUGCAAGACCGAUGUGAAAUCCCCGAGCUUAACUUGGGAAUUGCAUUGGUGACUGCACGGCUAGAGUGUGUCAGAGGGGGGUAGAAUUCCACGUGUAGCAGUGAAAUGCGUAGAGAUGUGGAGGAAUACCGAUGGCGAAGGCAGCCCCCUGGGAUAACACUGACGCUCAUGCACGAAAGCGUGGGGAGCAAACAGGAUUAGAUACCCUGGUAGUCCACGCCCUAAACGAUGUCGACUAGUUGUUGGGGAAUUCAUUUCCCUUAGUAACGUAGCU
Molecule: ribosomal RNA, 837 nt
Filed under: uncultured bacterium
Lineage: Bacteria
Description: bacterial SSU rRNA
Rfam family: Bacterial small subunit ribosomal RNA
Source: RNAcentral